CAAAAUAAAGCUAAAUCCUAGCAUUUCACUUACGUUGAGAAGGUUUGUCACAGUUGACUUGUUUUGA
Molecule: transfer RNA, 67 nt
Filed under: Cherax destructor
Lineage: Eukaryota; Metazoa; Arthropoda; Malacostraca; Decapoda; Parastacidae
Also listed under: 1 other name
Description: tRNA-Val
Source: RNAcentral